This 467-nucleotide ribosomal RNA is filed under the name uncultured bacterium. RNAcentral's name for it is "partial 16S ribosomal RNA". It matches the Rfam family "Bacterial small subunit ribosomal RNA", at positions 28 to 507 of the family's 1533-position model. The record is from RNAcentral.
GACGAACGCUGGCGGCGUGCUUAACACAUGCAAGUCGAACGGAAAGGCCUCUUUCGGGGGGUACUCGAGUGGCGAACGGGUGAGUAACACGUGAGUAACCUGCCCUUGACUUUGGGAUAACUUCAGGAAACUGGGGCUAAUACCGGAUAGGAGCUCCUGCUGCAUGGUGGGGGUUGGAAAGUUUCGGCGGUUGGGGAUGGACUCGCGGCUUAUCAGCUUGUUGGUGGGGUAGUGGCUUACCAAGGCUUUGACGGGUAGCCGGCCUGAGAGGGUGACCGGCCACAUUGGGACUGAGAUACGGCCCAGACUCCUACGGGAGGCAGCAGGGGGGAAGAUUGCACAAUGGGUGGAAGCCUGAUGCAGCAACGCCGUGUGCGGGAUGACGGCCUUCGGGUUGGAAACCGCUUUCGCUCAUGACGAAGCUUUGUGUGACGGUAGUGGGUAAAGAAGCACCGGCUAACUACGUG